GAUGAACGCUGGCGGCGUGCCUAAUACAUGCAAGUCGAGCGAACGGACGAGAAGCUUGCUUCUCUGAUGUUAGCGGCGGACGGGUGAGUAACACGUGGAUAACCUACCUAUAAGACUGGGAUAACUUCGGGAAACCGGAGCUAAUACCGGAUGAUAUUUUGAACCGCAUGGUUCAAGAGUGAAAGACGGUCUUGCUGUCACUUAUAGAUGGAUCCGCGCUGCAUUAGCUAGUUGGUAAGGUAACGGCUUACCAAGGCAACGAUGCAUAGCCGACCUGAGAGGGUGAUCGGCCACACUGGAACUGAGACACGGUCCAGACUCCUACGGGAGGCAGCAGUAGGGAAUCUUCCGCAAAGGGCGAAAGCCUGACGGAGCAACGCCGCGUGAGUGAUGAAGGUCUUCGGAUCGUAAAACUCUGUUAUUAGGGAAGAACAUAUGUGUAAGUAACUGUGCACAUCUUGACGGUACCUAAUCAGAAAGCCACGGCUAACUACGUG
RNAcentral lists this ribosomal RNA (497 nucleotides) under uncultured bacterium. Its description in RNAcentral is "partial 16S ribosomal RNA". It matches the Rfam family "Bacterial small subunit ribosomal RNA", at positions 28 to 507 of the family's 1533-position model. The record is from RNAcentral.